UACGUAGGUGGCAAGCGUUGUCCGGAUUUAUUGGGUUUAAAGGGCGCGUAGGCGGCUUAUUAAGUCAGUGGUGAAAUACUCUAGCUCAACUAGAGGGGUGCCAUUGAUACUGAUGAGCUUGAGUACAGAUGAGGUAGGCGGAAUUGACGGUGUAGCGGUGAAAUGCUUAGAUAUCGUCAAGAACACCUAUAGCGAAGGCAGCUUACUAGGCUGUAACUGACGCUGAGGCACGAAAGUGUGGGGAUCAAACAGG
RNAcentral lists this ribosomal RNA (253 nucleotides) under uncultured bacterium. RNAcentral's name for it is "partial 16S ribosomal RNA". It matches the Rfam family "Bacterial small subunit ribosomal RNA", at positions 524 to 776 of the family's 1533-position model. The record is from RNAcentral.